RNA transcript from Vespa crabro (European hornet), 5750 nucleotides. It is a transcript of the gene named serine/threonine-protein kinase PRP4 homolog, with no coding region annotated. The record is from RefSeq and is a predicted model, not a curated record. NCBI's taxonomy places the organism in Eukaryota, Metazoa, Arthropoda, Insecta, Hymenoptera, Vespidae. The transcript has 14 exons.
GCUACGUGAGAUUUGAACAAAAUUAUAUAAAAUCAGUGAAACAUCCAAAAGAUAUAAAACCAUUACGUAUUAAAGGAUUUUGUAAAAUUACCCUUUUUUUUUUUUUUUUGAAUAUAUUAUCAACGCGAAUUAAGAAACAUUUAAAAUGUUAUUGUAGGGUUAAAAAUAGAAUGAUGAAGAUCUCGAUUUAUCAAUUGCCUCAAAUUAUCUCAAUGUAUACAGAAAUAUGUAAUGUAUUUAAAAAAUAAGAGAGGACAAAAAAAAUUUUUAUAAAAACGAUUGAAACCAGUCAUUUUUUGUAUUGAUUGGUAAUUCUAGUGUUAAAGUUUUUACCUUAGAAAUCUGAAUAUCCUACAUACACAUAAUAAACUUAUAUUGUAGUCUCAUAAAGUGGAAAUGGAAUUGUGCGCAAAGUAUUGUCUAGAGGCGGUUAAAUAUGAAACUGAAUUAUAUAACUAUUUUAGACAUACAUAAAAGAGUAGGAUAGCAGAAUUUUUUCAUCUUUUAAUAAUACUACAAUAUAUUCUAACAAUGGAAGAGAAAAAUUGUUAAAAAUUUUUAAGAAUAUAUUAAAUUAAUCAAUUUUUGAUUGCUUUAACCUCUACAUAGCGUGUGUUAGGACAUGAGUUACCAUCCCCACUUUAUUUCAUUUAGGGAAUUGUCGCGCAUACGCAUAACGAACAAAGUUUUUUGCCAACAGAGAAAAUAAUAUCAUUUAUACCGUGAUAUUUUCAGCCUUUUCCCGAUUUAAUUGGUAAUGUAGUCUUCUUAUUACAUAUAUGGAAUCUCUAUUGCAAUAAUCGAAAUAAAAUUAUAUCGAUAAUCAAAAUCUCAUUCGAGAUACAGCAAACAGAAGAAUCGAUAAUACAAAAUGGCUUCUUGUUAAAGAAUGAACGUAUGCGUAUUAUCAAGUGCAGUGAUUCCAUAAUAUUUUCAUUAUUUAUAAUUUAUAUAAUAUCAACAUGGGCUCAUCAGAUAUAGAAGGUUUAGAUUCAAAAAGAGAAAUCGUUGGCAUAGACUCAGAAUCAGAUAUGCUUGGUGAUCAAAGGAAAAAGAAGAAAAGAAAACACAAGCACCACAAACAUAAAAAGGAUAGAGUGAUAGAGAAAGAAGAUGGAAGGAUAGAUAGGCAAGAAAGGAAAAAGCACAAGAAACAUAAAAGACCGCGUAAAGAGAAAGAAAUUGAAAAUGGUUCAUUGGAUGAGAAAGCACCAUCUCGUAUUAAUCAGAAAGAAAUUGGUCUUAAUGGCAAGGUCAAAAAUUCAUUAUUAGAAAUAGUUUCUACAGAAGAAAGCGAAGAUGAGAAAUUAAUAGAUCUUGAUUCUGAUGAGGUAGAUUGUACUAUUAUUGAAGAUGAUAUUGAUUUGGAAGAAUUAAUGAAACAGAAGGAGCGAUUACAAGCAUGUUUAGUUCAAUAUUUGUCAGAUGAGUCGGAAAAGGAAGAUAAGGAACCGGAAGAGGAGGAGGAGGAGGAAGAAGAAGAAGAAGGAGGAGAGGAGGAUGAAGAAACAAAGGCAGAAACUCCAGAUGUAAUACUCGUAGAAGAUGAUAGUGAAGAUGACAAUAUACUCCAUAAAAAACGACCUAGAAGUAAGUCAGGAAGUAGGGAACGUAAAAAAAUAUCGAAACCUGAAAGACGCGUUGUAGUUGAUAUGAGUAGAGAUCGAAGAACCAGAGAGGACCACAAAGAUAAGAGAAGAGAUUCUGACAGAAGAAGAGAGGAUAAGACUCGGCCAAGAGAAGAAAUAAAAAGGGAUGAUGUGAGAAGGGAUGAGAAACGAAAAGCUAAUGAAAGGCAUAAGGAAGAUUCGAGAAAAGAGGAUUCUAGAAAAAGGAUAGAAGAAGAGAAACGUAAAGAUACUACUAGUAGUAGAAGGGAUGAAUCGCGCAAAAGAGAGCACGAUCGAAGGGAGGAGGAACGAGUGGACAGAAAACGAGAUUUGAGUCGACAUUUAUCUAGAUCUCAUAACGAUUCUAAGUGUCAAGAUGCUAAAGUGGAUAUUAAACAUAUUUCAUCGAGGCGUGAUAGUCGUGAUAGAGGAGACAAUCGGGACCGUCAAAGUAGUCGAGAUCGACAAUCAAGCCGAGAUCGACAUACUAGUCGCGAUCGUUAUAAUCGAGACAGACCAUUAAGUAAAGAUCGUCAUUCCAGUCGUGAUAAAAGAGAUAGCAGAGAACGACAUACUAGUCGAGAUCGUCAUGCCAACAGGGAUAGGCAAGCCAGUCGUGAUCGUAUGGACACAAGGGAUCGCCGCGAUAGUCGGAAUCAUGAGAAGAUUAGAGAACGAUCUAGAAGUACGAGAAGAUCUCGUAGUCCCAUUAGAAAUAGAAUGGACAGAGAUCGCAACGAUCGUUAUAAAAGAUCGCGUUCUUUAUCUCGAAGUCGAAGGGGUAGGGAAAAACACAUACGAGAUCAUGAAAGGGAUAGAGAGAAGAAUGGUAAAAAGGAAAGAAGUGAUAAGUACAAAGACUCUUUGUCGGAAGGCCUAAAAGUCGAACGUUUUGACAGUUCUAGCGAAGAAGAUAUCAAGGAUAUUGACAUUGAGGAAGAGGAAGAUGAGGAAGCUAUUAUUGAACGUAGGAGAAAACAGAGAGGAGAGUUACUCAAGCGAUUAAGUGGACCAUAUGAAGAUUCAAAUAUGUCUGCUGAUGUAACAGCUGUCACUGGAACUCCUCCGUCUGAAAGUCAUUCGAAUACAUCUCAAAAAUCACCAGAGAUACCUUCAAACAAUAAUGAAUCUACUUCUGAAAGCCAUACUCCGCCACUGCCUGAAAAACCAAAGUCACCACAGCCAGUUAAGAAAAGAAAGUCUAGAUUUGAGGAUGCAUUACCUGAAGAAUCUGAGAAGCCUGAAAACAUACAAAAUGCAGAGAAAGUUAAGCAAGAUGAAAAACAAAGUACAAAGAAAACGAAUGAAUGGGAUAUGUUUGCUGAAGCGGAUAAUAUCGGUGAUUUUAAUAGUCCUACCGUUGAAGGAAAACGUUUAGGUGGUCCUGACAACCCUAGUUUAACAGAUAAUUGGGAUGAUGCGGAAGGAUAUUAUCGCGUUCGGGUUGGUGAGACUUUAGAUUCGCGAUAUGUUGUUUAUGGUUAUACAGGACAAGGGGUUUUUAGCAAUGUCGUAAGGGCUAGAGACAGUGCUCGAGGCAAUUUAGAUGUUGCGGUGAAAAUAAUCCGGAACAAUGAAAUUAUGCAUCGUACUGGUCUCAAAGAACUAGAAAUACUUCGGAAACUUAACGAUGCAGAUCCAGAGGACCGAUUUCAUUGUUUGAGAUUAUUUAGGCAUUUCUUUCAUAAAAAUCAUUUAUGUAUGGUAUUUGAACCAUUAGCUAUGAAUUUAAGAGAGGUAUUGAAAAAAUAUGGUAAAGAUGUUGGUCUGCAUGUCAAAGCAGUCAGGUCGUAUACACAACAGCUUUUCCUUGCAUUAAAAUUAUUAAAACGAGCAAAUAUUUUACACGCUGACAUUAAACCAGAUAAUAUUCUAGUCAGUGAAAGUAAACUGGUAUUGAAACUUUGUGAUUUUGGUUCUGCCUCUCACGCUCAUGAAAAUGAGAUAACACCAUAUCUUGUAUCAAGAUUUUAUCGUGCUCCUGAAAUUAUUCUUGGUAUACCAUAUGAUUUUGGCAUUGACAUGUGGUCCGUUGGAUGCACAAUAUAUGAAUUAUACACUGGAAAAAUAAUGUUUUCGGGAAAAACAAACAAUCAGAUGUUAAAGUUUUUCAUGGAUCUAAAGGGCAAGAUGCCUAAUAAACUAAUAAGGAAAGGAACCUUCAAGGAUCAACAUUUUGACUCUAACUGCAAUUUUCUUUAUCAUGAGGUUGAUAAAGUUACUGAGCGGGAAAAAAUCGUCGUAAUGUCCACUCUUCCGGCAACUCGUGAUCUUAAUGCAGAACUUGGUGGGAAUUCAUUACCACCCGAACAAAGUCGGAAAGUUGGUCAGCUGAAAGAUCUGCUAGAACGCACGUUGAUGUUGGAUGCAGGGAAAAGAAUCACUGUGAACCAUGCUCUGGCACACCCUUUUAUACAAGAAAAAAUUUAGGUAACCCUGCCUAGGGUCCUUGUACAACAGAAAAAUUAUUAACGUAAAUUUGUGAAUUUGAAAUGAGACACCGCUAACGAUAAUCCGCAUUCACCGAAUAUUAUCAAAUAUUAAAUACGGAUAUUGCUAGCCAAAAUGGUGUCUGUCUUACAUGAACUGUCUGUAUUGGUUUUAGCAGAAAGAGGCGGCGCAUAGUUUCAAGUGUAACUCAAUCAAGACAACGAAGAGCAUAAAGCAGUAAAUAUUUAUAAUGCAUGUAUCAUCGUAUUGCAACGUUGUACUCUAUCAAUCUGAAAUAACGUAUUAAUUAGGUUGUUAAGAACUAUUACAGGUCAAUAGAGUGCAAUAUUUUUUAUAAGACAUAAUCAAUUUUCGUAAGGAAGUAAAUUACUUCCUAAUAUCUGUUGUAUAAGCAAUUUUAGCGGGAACAUAGAAUUUUACUAUUUAAACGUAUUCACAGAAUUUCAUGACGUAUUACUUAAAUACGUAAUUAGGUUAUAUGCCUUUUUAUUUUUGUCUUCAAGUAAUAAUCAUUGUGAAUUCAAAAGUAAUGAGCUCACGUUAAAAAGAAAAAGAAAAGGGAAAAAAGAAAAAAAUGAUAUAUUCUUAUCAAUCUUAUAAAUACUUGGUACCUAAAAGUAACGUUGUUCUUAGGUGAAUGAGUCAGACUGGAAAAAGUGACCGCCUCUUUCAGCAUGAACUGGCCAUCGAUACUUAGCAUUAUGGUGAUGAAUCUUCAAUUCGAAUCAUCUUUAUGUGCAAGCGGACCUUUCAAGGGCCUUUAGUGCUGAUCCCGUUGCAAGCCCUCCCUGUGAGGAGGGGAGGCAACGGAAGAGAUCAGAUGCUGAGAAGGAAUGAUGAAAGGUGUCCCAAAGGAAUGGUAAAAACAACGCAUAGAUACUCUCUGCUCCGUCUCAUCAAACCUGCUUAAACAAGAUAUCAUCGUCGAGUCAUCAAAGAAUGGAUCAUCAAAGAUUGAACUAAUUAUGAGCCAAUAUACAAGGUUUGUCUUAAAGACUUAUCAAGAAGAGCAAAACUGUAAGUAUGUAUGCAGGUAAAGUAUAUAUCGUAAAAAUGUUAAAAAUAAAAAAUUAUAGAGAUAUAGCGUUUUUACAAUUCAUUAUUUUUAUAAUAUGAUAAGCAAUAAUGAAGAUUUUAAUAUAUAUUCUAAUCAUUAUGACUUUGAGUUUUCAGAUAAUUAAUUAAAGAUCUCAAAAGAGUAUAACAAUACAUAUAAUACUGAAGAAACAUACAAUGAAAGAUAUUAUGUGUUAACAUACGUAUGUACUUUUAAUAAAACUUAUAAUAUACAAUAAAUAUAUUAGUAUAAUACAAUCACAGCGAGAUGUUGAAAUUUUGGUAUAAUGAAAUAUUAUCUAUUAAUUUUGUGUAAGAAAUGUAAUAACGCAAAAAUAUAGUUUAUAUAUUAUACGAUUUAAAAAUUGUUCUUUCAUUAUCUUAAUAUCGUCAUAGAUAAGUAAUCACGAAGGACCAAUCGAUAAAAUAAACUAAAGGAAGAAAACGGAGCUUGGUAUAAUAUUUAGAACAAUCUUUCUUUAUUUUCAUUUCUAUCAAUGCCGCAUUAUAAAACAUAAUUUGUAAGAGAUAUGUAUAGUACAUAUAUGUAUAUAUAUAUAUAUAUACUAUACAAACAUACGCACGCACACACACACACACACACACGAUUGGAGUCUUUGGUAUAAGUACAAC